AGCGAACGUUAGCGGCGGGCCUAACACAUGCAAGUCGAACGCGAAAGGUCUUCGGACUGAGUAGAGUGGCGCACGGGUGAGUAACACGUAGGUAAUCUACCCUUUGGCGGGGAUAACGUUCCGAAGGAGCGCUAAUACCGCAUAAGACCACGGAGUCUCCGGACGCUGUGGGAAAAGGUGGCCUCUUCUUGAAAGCUAUCACCGAAGGAUGAGCCUGCGUCCCAUCAGCUAGUUGGUAAGGUAAUGGCUUACCAAGGCGAAGACGGGUAGCUGGUUUGAGAGAAUGAUCAGCCACACUGGCACUGGAACACGGGCCAGACUCCUACGGGAGGCAGCAGUGAGGAAUAUUGGGCAAUGGGCGAAAGCCUGACCAGCCACGCCGCGUGAGUGAUGAAGGCCCUCGGGUCGUAAAGCUCUGUGGAGAGGGACGAAAACCCUGGUUUCAAAUAGGCUCCAGGCUUGACGGUACCUCUUUAGCAAGCACCGGCUAACUCUGUGCCAGCAG
Molecule: ribosomal RNA, 505 nt
Filed under: uncultured bacterium
Lineage: Bacteria
Description: bacterial SSU rRNA
Rfam family: Bacterial small subunit ribosomal RNA
Source: RNAcentral